Dipodomys spectabilis (banner-tailed kangaroo rat) is the source of this 996-nucleotide non-coding RNA. The record is from the annotation of a RefSeq genome assembly. Lineage: Eukaryota; Metazoa; Chordata; Mammalia; Rodentia; Heteromyidae.
CUGAGCAGUUCUUGAAAGCUGCUCACAUCCUGUGCAGGAGUCAGUCCUAGUCAGCACACAGCAUGGACAUGAAGGCCCCUGCUCAUUUCCUGGGGUUCCUGCUGCUCUGGAUUACAGGUGCCAGAUGUGACAUCCAGUUGACCCAGUCGCCAUCCCUGCCUGCAUCUCUGGGAGAGAGAGUCACCAUCACUUGCAAAGCUAGUGACGUCAUUAGCAAUUAUUUACAUUCUUACCAGCAGAGAGCAAGGAAAGCUCCAAAGCUCCUGAUCUAUUUUGCACCUACUUGGCAAUCUGGGGUCCCAUGGAGGUUCAAUGGAAGUGGAUCUGGCACAGAGUUCACUCGCAGCAUCAGCAGCCUGCAGCCUGAAGAUUUUGCCACUUACUACUGUCAGCAAGGAUCAAGUGGAGAUGUUGUGAUGACCCAGACUCCACUCUCCCUGCCUGUCACCCUAGGAGAGCCGGCCUCCAUCUCUUGCAGGUCGAGUCAGAGUCUCAUAUAUAGUGAUGGAAACACCUAUUUGUACUGGUUCCUACAGAAGCCAGGCCAGUCUCCACAAGCCCUAAUCUAUUUGGUUUCCAACCAAUAUUCUGGGGUCCCACACAGAUUCAGUGGCAGUGGGUCAGGCACAGAUUUCACAUUGAAAAUCAGCAGGGUGGAGGCUGAGAAUGUUGGUGUUUAUUACUGCUUUCAACAUACACAUGUUCCUCCCACACUGAUACAGCCCUGAACAAAAACCACCCUGACUGGUGUAGCGGAACUGUCACAUGUAGCCUUUUUUAGGAGCAGCACAACAGCUUUUCUGAGUGAAUGUGAGAGCAAGAAGCUAGAGAAGUCAGGAUAGUAAGUCACUGUUGUGCUCUCUGAUCCAAGCAUUUCUGAUACCCUUUAGGAUAUUGCAGCAAAAGCCAUGGAAUUGCACAGGCAGCCAUGUGGCUCCUUUGGCUGAUGGGAUGAUAAUGCAUCAUAUAGUUUAAUAAAUACUCAUUCUGAUUCCA